AGAUCCACGGGAGCUCCAUUGCAACAGAAAAAGGCAUGCCUCUUCAGUUUACUUACAGUGAGUACAAAUGAAGUCUGUGGGCCAACAAGGAGCGAGGAGCAGUUUCCUGGAAGCCCUGGGCUGGUGUUUGACUUGCUUUGAGAUAGAAUAAAUGGGAGAAAGAGACUUUAUGGGACAUCUGGGCCUAGGGCUCCUGGAUGCUGUGCUGAAAACACCACGUACAGAAGCCAGUCUAACCUUCUGGA
RNAcentral lists this long non-coding RNA (245 nucleotides) under Homo sapiens (human). RNAcentral's name for it is "HSALNT0268529". The record is from RNAcentral. Lineage: Eukaryota; Metazoa; Chordata; Mammalia; Primates; Hominidae.